This is a long non-coding RNA of Magnolia sinica, 1125 nucleotides long. RefSeq lists it as uncharacterized. NCBI's taxonomy places the organism in Eukaryota, Viridiplantae, Streptophyta, Magnoliopsida, Magnoliales, Magnoliaceae. The record is from RefSeq and is a predicted model, not a curated record. The transcript has 4 exons.
UUGACAUCCUUGUGCACUCUCUCGCCAAUGGCCCAGAGGUACCGUAGUAACUAUAUUAUUCAUGCCCCUUCUCAUGUUUAUGUUUAUUGUUUUCGUCUAUCUUGUAAUUUCCUUUAUAGGUCAGUAAACCUCUAUUAGAGACAUCCCGAAAUGGAUAUCUUGCAGCGAUGUCAGCAUCAAGUUAUUCCUAUUUGUCAUUGCUCAAGCAUUUUGUUCCAAUAAUGAAUCCAGGCAAGCUUCUCAGAAAAUGAAAAAAAAAAAGGAAAAAAAAGUGGGCUGCCUGAUUUUUUUAGCUAGCUAGGGUCAUUUGCACUAUGGGACCACUUGAUGAAUGGCUAAGAUUGGCACCAUGUGCCUUGUUGGAACUUGUGGCUUGGUGUAGAUGGGCUGCCUAGCCAACCUCUAUAUUUGUAUGUAUGUGCAGUCAACUUACCAUAUAAACAUGUUGUCCAUGUAAUGUUGCAGGUGGUGCAUCAAUUUCUCUCACAUACAUUACUGCUGAAAGGAUCAUUCCUGGAUAUGGUGGGGGCAUGAGUUCAGCUAAAGCUGCUCUAGAGAGUGAUACCAAGGUGCUUGCAUUUGAAGCAGGAAGGCGCCACAAGAUUUGAGUUAAUACAAUAUCUGCUGGUCCAUUAAGAAGCCAUGCAGCCUAGGCCAUUGGAUUCAUCGACAUGAUGAUUGACUACUCAUCAACCAAUGUAGGAUUAUAUCAUGGUGAUUUCCCGGCAACUGCUGAAACUCCAUUAGCUUUUAACAGACAAAUAAAUUGCAUUCCCCAACUAGUGAAUUUUUUUUUUAAUUUUUUUUAUUGUAGUGAGAUGAUAGGAGUUGGCCAUGAAUACAUGGAAGAGUUCUUCGGUUGUUGCGAAUCCGUUUUGGCUAAAGAUGGUUUGUUUGUCCUAUAGGUUACAUAUUGUCUAUUAUAAUUUUUCUUAAUUAUGGCUUGAUUUGAAUUAUCUGAAAAGAAAGGUGUACUUGUAGUAGUCCAUUCAAAUGGCCCCACUUAGCCAUUUCCUCUUUAUUGAAUUGAGUUGUUACCAAUUUUGUGAAUGGGAUUCUUAUUAAACAAUCAUGUAAAUUAUUUUUUGAAUGACUAUCAGGUGUAAGAUUCAAAAUAAUAAUAAU